GGAGAAGAGAGGGCUGGAGAGGAGAAGAUAGGACGAGAGGAGAAGAGAGGGCUGGAGAGGAGAAGAUAGGACCAGACGAGAGGAGAAGAGAGGCCUGGAGAGGAGAAGAUAGGACCAGACGAGAGGAGAAGAAAGGGCUGGAGAGGAGAAGAUAGGACCAGAGGAGAGGAGAAGAGAGGGCUGGAGAGGAGAAGAUGGGACCAGAGGAGAGGAUAAAAGAGGGCUGGAGAGGAGAAGAUAGGACCAGAGGAGAGGAGAAGAGAGGGCUGGAGAGGAGAAGAUAGGACCAGACGAGAGGAGAAGAGAGGGCUGUAGAGGAGAAGAUAGGGCCAGAGGAGAGGAGAAGAGAGGGCUGGAGAGGAGAAGAUAGGAGGAGAGAGGGCUGGAGAGGAGAAGAUAGGACCAGAGGAGAGGAGAAGAGAGGGCCGGAGAGGAGAAGAUAGGAGAAGAGAGGGCUGGAGAGGAGAAGAUAGGAGGAGAGAGGGCUGGAGAGGAGAAGAUAGGAGGAGAGAGGGCUGGAGAGGAGAAGAUAGGACCAGAGGAGAGGAGAAGAGAGGGCUGUAGAGGAGAAGAUAGGACCAGAGGAGAGGAGAAGAUAGGAGGAGAGAGGGCUGGAGAGGAGAAGAUAGAAGGAGAGAGGGCUGGAAAGGAGAAGAGAGGGCUGUAGAGGAGAAGAUAGAUCAGUGCCCUUUGUCAAUAUACAUCUGAAGCAGACAAUAGCUAAACUCACACAUCGUUUCCC
This is a long non-coding RNA of Oncorhynchus tshawytscha (Chinook salmon), 742 nucleotides long. NCBI's taxonomy places the organism in Eukaryota, Metazoa, Chordata, Actinopteri, Salmoniformes, Salmonidae. The record is from Ensembl.